CUAGCAUCACCGCCUAGGUUAGCAGCUAACGAAAGAGCUAGCCAUCCAGCCAGCUGGUCGGCUCACUGUGUGUGAGUCAUAUCGUGGAGCUGGUGGAGGCUCUGACCGUCAGGUAACCUGGUAACCCACUGAUCUGCUGAUGUCACUGCUCUCCAUAAUGAAGUGUGAGUGUAUCCAGCCGCCUUUGUCAAUAAGCAGGAGGGUAAAUUCACAGGAGAUAAGCCGGACAAUGAAGGCCAUGGCUGGUUUAAGCUGAUUAGGAGACACUGAAUUUCUCGCAAACAGGAAAGUGUAGUGAGACAGUGCAGGAGAAUGACACAGAGGAAGCAGCCCGGCAGACACUCAAACCCAGAGCUAGCUGCAUCUUCACAUAAGGAUCUACGAACACAGCAUGGAGGAAAGUCACUCGGAGCACCUAUAAACUGUAUUUCUUCAUGCAGAUGCAUGAUACCUGCAUAAAAUACCUGAGAAGAAUUAAUGGGGUAAAAUAAUAAGGUAAGCAGGAAUCAAGAAACAUGAAUAUUGUAACAGCUGUAACAGUAUUGAUGCAAUCAUGUCUGAAUUGGAUCAAUAAAGAAAUUUUAGAUAAUCAUCCUUUUAGUUAAGAUAAUCCGUUACGGCUUUCUUUAAAUAAAUAUACAGCUAGAUGUUUAAAUUAAACAUGGUCAGCACUUAAGCAUUACUGCUCAAACCUGUUUAAGAAGACAGUUUGUUUAAAGGGGGAGGAGCUAAAAAAUUAUGAUAAGAUGCAUUAGACCUCAGUGUAAGAUAAACGAAGCUGCUGUAGUCGAGUACAGCUCCCACAAUAUGAAGAUGGAAAUGACUAAACUUCUCCCAUCUUCAGUGUUUCUGUAGUUACUGCUGUCAACCACUGUGAGGCAGUGUUGUCUUCUGUUACACCUCCAGUGAUCACCCGUUGGUUUAAUGGAGAGCAAAUGUGUUCUUGGAUUUGCUGUAAAUUAGCACGCUGGAGCGUUUUUGAAAAGUUACAUUUUUGAUUAAGAUCCCGUUUCAGUCUGACCUG
Molecule: long non-coding RNA, 1024 nt
Organism: Haplochromis burtoni (Burton's mouthbrooder)
Lineage: Eukaryota; Metazoa; Chordata; Actinopteri; Cichliformes; Cichlidae
Exons: 4
Source: RefSeq, a predicted model, not a curated record